GCCCUGGUAAGGUAGUGGACUAUAUAGGGCCCUGGUAAGGUAGUGGACUAUAUAUAGGGAAUAGGGCCCUGGUAAGGUAGUGGACUAUAUAGGGCCCUGGUAAGGUAGUGGACUAUAUAUAGAGAAUAUGGCCCUGGUAAUGUAGUGGACUAUAUAUAGGGAAUAGGGCCCUGGUAAGGUAGUGGACUAUAUUUAGGGAAUAGGGCCCUGGUAAGGUAGUGGACUAUAUAGUUACUUUACUUGACAUUUAAAUGUAAAACUUGAGUCGGGCAUACCAACUGGGCUACAACAUAUGGUACCAAAUGGUUACUUUACCAUCUCUAAAUGGG
Molecule: long non-coding RNA, 329 nt
Organism: Oncorhynchus tshawytscha (Chinook salmon)
Lineage: Eukaryota; Metazoa; Chordata; Actinopteri; Salmoniformes; Salmonidae
Source: Ensembl